Cyprinus carpio (common carp) is the source of this 2251-nucleotide long non-coding RNA. NCBI's taxonomy places the organism in Eukaryota, Metazoa, Chordata, Actinopteri, Cypriniformes, Cyprinidae. The record is from Ensembl.
CCAAUCAUGAUCCCCUCACCUAUAACCAAUUCAUCUGCUUAUUGUGGACUAUUUCAAAACAGUUUAACAUGGAUAUUAUAUUACCUUUUCACUUUUAUUAUGCCUCUGUCCCAACUUUUGUGGAGUGUGUUGCAGCCAUCAAAAUUAAAAACUUUUAAUGGUGCCUUUGUCAAUUAAAUGAAGGUUAAAGACAAACAUACCACAUAUUCUUGGUUUUAUUGAAUUUUACAAAACGUCCAAACUUUUCUGGAAUUGGGUAUUGAAAUACAUUACAAAUAAAAAAAUACUUUCAAAACAAUUAGAUGUAGCUGAACACCUACUUAGGUGAUAGUCUUGCAGUUUUAUUACCAUAUAUAAAGAUUUUGUACUGUAAUAUAAACUUGGACCAUGUAACAUAUACUUGCAAUGAAUUCUCUAAACAGAGUGGUGUCAUUGUUAUUUUCUGGGGACAUUUUACAAAUAAAAACAUAGUAUAGUGCUACCUGUUUUUAGUGUUUUAGGGCAUUGAAUGACAACAUGCUUGCUGGGUGACAACCUUUGCUAGUGUAACGGAAGAAUGAGUUGAUCUGAUUCAUGUAUGAAACAUACUCAGGAAUUAUGAAAACAUUGAAUUUUUUUGUCCUGAUAUUUAAUUUUCCUGAGCUCAUCAAGUUACAUGUUGAUUCCACUAGGUGGCGCCUGCAGUCAAGCUGGAGAAGUUACAGUAAAUUCAAUCUAUGCUAAAAUCUUGUCACUCCUCCCCUUACAAAGCAACCCAACCUACCAGUCACAUUAAGAGGAAUAGCAACAGAUUAAUCACUGACUAUUGAGUACACACCAGAGACAGACACUGUUCAGUAGUGCAGAAAAGCCCAUUGCCAUCAAGAGAAACAUGGAUUCCAGAAAGUCUACAACAGUGCGGAAUUCAGAAACAGGGCAGUCUUUGCUUCCACUGCAGCAGGGCCCUCCGGAGUACUCCGAUGCUGGAUUCCCUCUCUCACACAGCUAUCCAGGCACUCCCCAGCAAUACGGAGCUCCGCUGGCGUCUGGCCUGUACACUCAAGGGUCAUAUCUUGGGCAGAAUGUGGUCAGUGUGCAACCUACCGUUGAAGUGUUCACUCCACUGGCCAAUCCACUGCCAGAUUACCUGGGCUACUCCAUCUUUACCAUGAUGUGCUGCUGUUUACCUCUGGGAUCGGCUGCUCUUGUUUACUCCAUCACAACUCGAGAUGCUAACAUGUUUGGACACCAGCAAAUAGCAAGCAGAAACUCUAGAAUGGCACGCAUCCUCAACCACAUCAGUGUUGCUGUUGGCCUAAGCUUCAUUUUGAUUAUUAUAAUCUACCUCAUUCUUGCUGUUGUUGUAACUACUACACGCUAUGGCAAACCGUAAUUGUAAGCAAUGUCAUGGUAGGACACCAGAAAGUUGAAGAAAGUGAGGGUUUUAGAAACAUGAGUAUAUUAUGUUUUAAAUACAAGAAGAUUUUCCAUUCUGCUUUUAAAUGUUAAUUUUGCUCAAGGUAUUUUUUAUAUGAUUGCUUUUAGACUUUACUGUAUGUAUGAGGAGCUCCAUCUAGGGAUGAUUCAGUAUGUUUAGUGUAACUAACUCCUCACCAUAUCAUUGUUUUUACAUAAUUAAAAGACAUGCUUUUUAAAGUUAAUUAUUUUUUUGUUUUAAAACAAUGGAAGCUUUAACUGUUAAAGUAAAUGCAGCAUCAAUUAAAAAAAAAAUUCUACUUGUCUUUAAAUUAGGCUACAUAAAACUUGGAAUAAUUAUGUCAUAACUUUUAUCAUUGUCUGUUUUUUCCAUAACACACUAACAUUUUCAUUUUCUCUGGUUUUUAGUUUAGUUUUAUAAUCUUCUUCAUCAUCAACAUCUUCUUCUUCUUCUUGAAUGAAUGAAUGAAACAUUUAUAUAGCGCUUUAUUGUGUAUUGCUGUACACCCAAGGCACUUUAUAAUCAUAUCAUGGGAUUUCUCCUCAACCACCACCAGUGUGCAGUCACCUGGUUGAUACGACGGCAGCCACAGUACAACAGCGCCAAUGCGCUCACCACACAGCUAUUCAUAGUUUCUGUCACGUGACUGGCUCGAAGACCUGGUGGGCAAAACAUCCACAGAACUGCAGCACAAGCCUGUCAAUUUUCUAUCUGCACUCAAAAAAAUGACUCUUUGGCUGAACAUGAUUCUUUCAUGGACAGUGGUUCCACAUGUUUGUACCAUGUUAUUUGGACAUGAAUAAAUCAAGGACAUGUCUACUUUUAGUUGAGUUU